Molecule: ribosomal RNA, 253 nt
Filed under: uncultured bacterium
Lineage: Bacteria
Description: partial 16S ribosomal RNA
Rfam family: Bacterial small subunit ribosomal RNA
Source: RNAcentral
UACGUAGGUGGCAAGCGUUAUCCGGAAUUAUUGGGCGUAAAGCGCGCGCAGGCGGUUUCUUAAGUCUGAUGUGAAAGCCCACGGCUCAACCGUAGAGGGUCAUUGGAAACUGGGAGUCUUGAGUGCAGAAGAGGAAAGUGGAAUUCCAUGUGUAGCGGUGAAAUGCGUAGAGAUAUGGAGGAACACCAGUGGCGAAGGCGACUUUCUGGUCUGUAACUGACACUGAGGCGCGAAAGCGUGGGGAGCAAACAGG